This 404-nucleotide long non-coding RNA is filed under the name Hordeum vulgare. RNAcentral describes it as "long non-coding RNA (HVUL_LNC000586)". Lineage: Eukaryota; Viridiplantae; Streptophyta; Magnoliopsida; Poales; Poaceae. The record is from RNAcentral.
AGGAGGAGCGGGCACCGCUCGAUCUGGCGACCCUUGGCGAGUGGGAUGCAGGGAGGCUGUAACGACUAAGAUGCGACCCUUUCCUAUUUUGGGGGCGAGGCCUCAAAAGGGAAGGGGCGCAUCUAAACGUUUCGCAAGCGAGAUAAUCAUAACAUUACAUAAUUGAAAGAGUGACAAGUAGGGCAUACACUUGCCAUCUAAUAAGAGUAUAGCAUUAAGCUUACACACACACUUAUUCAGAACAUAGUUUAGUCCCGCUACGGACAACAUGAAAUGAGUAAAACUAUGACAUCCCGCAUGCUGGCCCCACGAUCACGACCACGGCCUCAGUCCUCUGGAUAGUUCACGUACAGACGGCCAGAGUCCUCAUCAAACUCCCACUUCAGCUGGUUGUCAUUAGGAUC